UACAGAGGGUGCGAGCGUUGUUCGGAAUCAUUGGGCGUAAAGCGCUUGUAGGCGGCCUGUCAAGUCGCGUGUGAAAUCCCUUGGCUUAACCAAGGAAGUGCGCGCGAAACUGGCGGGCUUGAGUGCCGGAGAGGGUCGCGGAAUUCCCGGUGUAGAGGUGAAAUUCGUAGAUAUCGGGAGGAACACCAGUGGCGAAGGCGGCUAUCUGGACCGACAUUGACGCUGAUGCGCGAAAGCGUGGGGAGCAAACAGG
Molecule: ribosomal RNA, 253 nt
Filed under: uncultured bacterium
Lineage: Bacteria
Description: partial 16S ribosomal RNA
Rfam family: Bacterial small subunit ribosomal RNA
Source: RNAcentral